CGGAGGAUCCAAGCGUUAUCCGGAUUUAUUGGGUUUAAAGGGUGCGUAGGCGGCUUAUUAAGUCAGGGGUGAAAGACGGUGGCUCAACCAUCGCAGUGCCCUUGAUACUGAUGAGCUUGAAUGGACUAGAGGUAGGCGGAAUGUGACAAGUAGCGGUGAAAUGCAUAGAUAUGUCACAGAACACCGAUUGCGAAGGCAGCUUACUAUGGUUUUAUUGACGCUGAGGCACGAAAGCGUGGGGAUCAAACAGGAUUAGAUACCCUGGUAGUCCACGCCCUAAACGAUGAAUACUCGCUGUUAGCGAUAUACAGUUAGCGGCUAAGCGAAAGCGUUAAGUAUUCCACCUGGGGAGUACGCCCGCAAGGGUG
RNAcentral lists this ribosomal RNA (368 nucleotides) under uncultured organism. RNAcentral's name for it is "bacterial SSU rRNA". It matches the Rfam family "Bacterial small subunit ribosomal RNA", at positions 526 to 896 of the family's 1533-position model. The record is from RNAcentral.